UAAGCCAGUUUAAAAGCCACACAUCGCACUAUUCACAACAAAAAUCCGGAGGUAGUGAGAAAGCACCGUGACAGUGUAUAGUCGAAUGGAAAUUUGUUUAAUUUUAAUACCAUUGUAUGCACAAAACUUUGAUAUCAUGCGUUUUCUGGCAGUGUAGUAUCUACGUGAAGCAGUGCAUAAACCAAUUGUUAUUACACGAACAUUUAACGUUAUCGAAUAGUGCUAUAUUCAGAACUAUGGACAAUAAGAAGGAAGUUGAGGAUGAGAAGAAAGACAGUAGCAGCAGUGUAGAAGAACAAGAAAGCUCAAGUUCAUCGCUUGACCAAGCUGAAGGUGGAGAUUCUGAUACAAGCAUGGAUAAGAUUCGUAAAUUCCUUGAGCAGAAACUGCACAUUUUUGACAAUAAUAGCAGUGACCAUGUAGAAAAGGUCCUAACUGAAACAACUGUGGAUGGCGUUGUUGAGUUUAUCAAAACUCACAAUGUAAAAAAAAUAGUAACAAUGGCUGGGGCUGGUAUAUCAACUUCUGCAGGAAUACCAGACUUUCGCUCUCCCAAAAGUGGACUAUACCAUAAUUUAGACAAGUAUAAUUUGCCACACCCACAAGCAAUCUUUGAACUGGAUUUUUUCAAAAGCAAUCCAGAGCCUUUUUUUGUACUUGCGAAAGAGCUGCUUCCAGAAGGAUAUAAGCCGACUCCAUCACAUUAUUUCAUACGUCUGUUGCAUGAAAAGGGACUUCUUCUGCGGCAUUACACUCAAAAUAUAGAUACUCUAGAAAGGCUUGCUGGAUUACCAGAAGAAAAGCUAGUAGAAGCUCACGGAACAUUUCACUCUGGGCGAUGUCUUGAUUGCCAAGCAUCAUUUGAUCUGCCUUGGAUGAAAGAAAAAAUCAAAAAAGCAACUGUUCCAAAAUGUGAGGAAUGCUCUGAAGGAGUUGUGAAGCCUGAUAUUGUUUUCUUUGGAGAAAUGUUACCUGAUAGAUUCCAUAGACUGAUUGAUCAAGAUUUUCCAGAAGCUGAACUUUUAAUAAUAAUGGGCUCUAGUUUACUUGUCCAACCUUUUGCUUCUUUAGUCGACAGAGUUAAACGCAGCUGUCCGAGGUUGUUAAUAAACAAAGAAAAAGUUGGUAUGCAGGAUAGAUUAUCAAGAUUUCUUGGUAUAAGCAGUGGUAUGAAUUUCGAUUCUUCAAAUGGUCGUGAUGUUGCAUUGCUUGGUGAAUGUGAUAAGGGAUGUCAAUUACUUGCUGAAAAACUUGGCUGGGGGGAUGAAUUAAAAGACUUAAUUGCAAAGGAAUAUGAGAGAUUAGACACCGAAACUGCAGAAUUAAAAGAAUAUCUCGAGAAGGAAAAGCGCCCUCCAGGGAAUGAAAAAGCAAGUAACGAAUAAUAUAGCACUGUCAAUCGACAUAUCGAUACCGAGAAUUUUAAAAAAAUUGCACUGAUCAACUGUUAUUAUGCAAAUAGUUAACUUUUUCGAAUUUAUUAGAGAUAAUUUUGUAAAUAUGCUUACCACUAACUAGAAACUUUUAUACGAUAUAGAGUGUAUUGUAUUGAAAAGAACUUGUCGAUCGCCACAAAUUUCAACUAAUUUUAUUUUUUCAAAGGUACGUUAGUUAUUAUAUACAUAUUAUCUAUCGUACGGUGUACGAUAUUUUUGACAAAUAUUACGUUGAAUCGAAUAACAAAAUAGAUGAUCUUCAAUAGUUCUAACUAAUUUUACUCAUAUUUAUUCAACUAUCGCGAUUUGAUCCUCCAAGAGUUGCUUUGAGAUUUUUAAAACAUUUUGUUAGAGAUUAGAAAAAAAAUGUAUAUGUUUGUAAUUGCAAAGAAAUUUCAAAAUUUAUUCUAUCCGUAUCACAAUUAUUUUUUUAAAAUUCUUAUCAUAGAAUUUCAUUUUAAAAAUCUUCUCUUGAUAUAAUUAUAUCUGCUUCAAAUAACGCUUCGAAAUUUAUGUUUUAUUUCAUUGCAAACGGUUUUACGACGACUUCUUCGCUUUGACGUUGAUGCAACUGGCCAAUGCCAACAGCUGACGUUGCUAGAGGCUCUCGCCCAGAAUAACUAUAACUUUACGAACUGCGUUUUCCUGUGCUUUUUCAUCGCCUGCGAUCAAGAGCGUAGUUCGGUCAAGCUUUAUAGCGACUCAACUCAAGAGAGUACGAAAAGCAGACUUACCUAUGACAGUCUUGAAGCUAGUACCAGGAGCGAUUUCGUCCAAACCUGACGUGGCCGAAACGUGACGAAGUAACGUCUUUGGCGCGACGAGUAUCAAAGGCUUCCUGAAGUUCCUCACCAUCUGAAAUUAACAAUAUACUCGUUAUCCACGUAAUUUAUUAAUGCUCUGUAAAAUACCCUAAAGGACGUACUCUUUAUAAAUAUAAUACCCGUAAUAAAUUAUAUAUAUUUAACUAAA
RNA transcript from Nasonia vitripennis (jewel wasp), 2408 nucleotides. It is a transcript of the gene named NAD-dependent protein deacetylase sirtuin-2, with no coding region annotated. NCBI's taxonomy places the organism in Eukaryota, Metazoa, Arthropoda, Insecta, Hymenoptera, Pteromalidae. The record is from RefSeq and is a predicted model, not a curated record. The transcript is spliced from 8 exons.